Triticum dicoccoides is the source of this 2410-nucleotide long non-coding RNA. RefSeq lists it as uncharacterized. The record is from RefSeq and is a predicted model, not a curated record. NCBI's taxonomy places the organism in Eukaryota, Viridiplantae, Streptophyta, Magnoliopsida, Poales, Poaceae. The transcript is spliced from 3 exons.
UUUUCCUUCUAUGCGUGCUCUUCUCGAUCUAUACGGGCAUGGCACCGUCGGCGGAGGCAGGUCUUUUUCUCUGGCCAUCCGCCGGCCUGCUCUCCUUCCCCUCCCGAUCCGCCCCUAAUACUCUCCGGCACCACCUGCAGCCUCUUCAAUCUCGAACCUCCUGCACAUGUGCCGUGCUUCUCUGACUUGGAUCAGAGUUGGAUUUUGUGUCCUCAAUUCGAUGGAGUAGCCACCAAAUUCCGUCAAAUCGCCGUGUCAACCUCCCCGCGGCGGCCGUGCCGCCCAGGAACCCCAGCCACCGCUCCUGCUAGGCCAGGCUCCGCUGCCGAGGUCCCCCAUCGCCAUUGGAUCCCCAAGUGCCUAUCCGCCAUCUCAACGGCCUCACCCAGCGAGCUCGCCUGGACCCUGAGGUCAUUGGAGCGAGCCUCCACUAGGCCACCCGACGCGCCAAUGAUCCCGUGUGCUGCCGCUCGAGCUCCCCUGCUCGCUUCCCUCCACGCACCGCCGCCCUGGCCUAGCAGAUUAAUGGAGGGCGCGACCAACUUUGGUUCGUGCCUCGGUGCUCCUCGCCAUUCACCAGCUGCGGCAUCCAACUUCUCCACUAUGGGAGUUCAUUAUGGCAGCGUACAACCACCAAUUAAUAGAGAACAUGGGGGAAAGGAAAGGAAAUGAUGCAGCCGGUGCUACAUCGAACCAUCGACGCGGCAGACGCAGCAUACAAAUGCCCUGUAGGUGGCCGGACCUGGGGAUCUCCAUCAAGGUCGACAGCGAGUUGUAGUACUGUGUCCAGCCAACAACACCUUUUGCUUCUAUGGUUCAAUCCGCACUUCCCUUUGUCAUUCUGAAUGCGCCCUUGUUGAUUGCUAUCUGGCAUUGGCAAUGUAUUCCAACUGUUUGAUGAUUUGAGCUUGCCAUAACUUCAAUUCUAUAAAAGAGUUAUCCUCAGGAAUUUGUUUAUGGGCCACCAAUACCGCAAAAACUAUAGAACAAUGUUAUUACUGCUAAUGGAUAGAUGCACUGCAGAAAUAUGAAUAGUUUUGGUCAAAAGAAUGCAGACUGCACUUUCUUAUUAGUCUAUCACCCUCACGGUUGCUAAUGAUAUUUGUUUUGCCACCACUUUUUGUGUAACUAGGGGAGGACACUGAUCGUUUGGUUAAAAAAAGAGUGUGGAAACUCACCAUCCUUUCUCAAACAUUCUCACUCAGUCAACUGCCAAGGUAAAAUCAAUGGCCGUCUUUGAUCAGUUCAUACGGAACAAAACUCAUUUAUUUCAAAAACUGCAGGUUCAUGGUGACAAAUGGACAUACUGUUUCAGGCUUAUGACUAAGAAUUAAAAACACAGACUCAAAUUAAUUAGAUGCUCUAAUUAGAAGGUAUGCACUUGGAGGCAUUACCCGCCUUCUUACUUGGAGGCCUUCCUUGCCUUUUUCCCAUGGCAAACCAUGGCGCUUGAAAAAUAAAAUUAAACAUGCAUGGGUCUCAACUUGUAAGUGAUGUGCCGAAACCGCCACUACCUACAACCGUGCCCUCAGGAUUUCCUCGGACCAUCCUUAUCAAUUGUAGUCUCUGCUCUCCCACGUUAAGUCCCUCCUUUUAGAAACAGCUUUUCUCGAUGGUGGCCUCCCCUGGAAGCUCUUCAACCUAUGGUGUGGAGUCGGUUCCCCGUCAGAAGGAAAUGCUUGCGUUAGGUCGUUAGACUGUUAAUUGUGACCAUGUUAUUCUGUCGAGCCUUUCCAUCGAGUUGUCAAAACAAUAUCAAAGUAGAAGAUGUUAAAUAUGAAACUACCAAGUUAUGCACUCUGCUAUUGUGGUUGUGAAGCUCGUACAGUCUACUUGAUGUUCGCACAAAAUUUCCUCCAGGCAACAAGACGAUGAGUUCAGUGCAAGUCUUCAGGCUGUAGGGCUAAUCAUAGGCAAAGAAGUCUGGACUUCCGUGGGUUUUCAUGAACGAUUUUGAAAUGAAGAAUAGUUGUUAAGUUAUUAUUUUUGCUAGAAGAGUAGCGUUGCAAAAGAGUAUUGCCGGGGAAGUAACUGGAGCACAUGCUACUAUUUUUACAGGAAAGAACCUAAAUGACCCAACUUAUGCAAUCUACAGAUGUUGCUUACGAAAUCGGUAGAGCCAUGCAUCUGCAAUUAUCUAUUAGCAACAUCAGGAUAAGCGUAUUGCAACAGAAGAUUCGAGGGCGAUAACGCGAGGAAGAAAAACUGUCUGUUGCGGGAGAAGAAAUUUUUGCCCCGUAGGCUUUCAGUUUAAAAGUUUCCAUUACAUACAAUUUCACUCUGCAUAUGAUACAUUUGUUAUCACUCGGUAUUCUGCUCAAGGGGAACUGAUACUUCUGCAUAUGAGAAUUCUUAUCCUUUUGACUAUGGCAUGCCUUUUGGUCCGCCCUGGCUUAGGUAGUUUGUGUCG